RNAcentral lists this ribosomal RNA (253 nucleotides) under uncultured bacterium. RNAcentral describes it as "partial 16S ribosomal RNA". It matches the Rfam family "Bacterial small subunit ribosomal RNA", at positions 524 to 776 of the family's 1533-position model. The record is from RNAcentral.
UACAGAGGUCUCAAGCGUUGUUCGGAUUCAUUGGGCGUAAAGGGUGCGUAGGUGGCGCCGUAAGUCGGGUGUGAAAUUUCGGAGCUUAACUCCGAAACUGCAUUCGAUACUGCGGUGCUUGAGGACUGGAGAGGAGACUGGAAUUCGUGGUGUAGCAGUGAAAUGCGUAGAGAUCAUGAGGAAGACCAGUGGCGAAGGCGGGUCUCUGGACAGUUCCUGACACUGAGGCACGAAGGCCAGGGGAGCAAACGGG